This 75-nucleotide transfer RNA is filed under the name Chlorolobion braunii. RNAcentral describes it as "tRNA-Gly". It matches the Rfam family "tRNA". From Rfam's summary of the family: Transfer RNA (tRNA) molecules are approximately 80 nucleotides in length. Their secondary structure includes four short double-helical elements and three loops (D, anti-codon, and T loops). Lineage: Eukaryota; Viridiplantae; Chlorophyta; Chlorophyceae; Sphaeropleales; Selenastraceae. The record is from RNAcentral. RNAcentral also lists the same sequence under 1 other name.
AGCGGAUGUAGCUCAGUUGGUAGAGCGUGGUCCUUCCAAGUCCAAUGUCGCGCGUUCGAAUCGCGUCAUCCGCUA